Long non-coding RNA from Sus scrofa (pig), 79 nucleotides. It matches the Rfam family "Ghrelin opposite strand RNA conserved region". NCBI's taxonomy places the organism in Eukaryota, Metazoa, Chordata, Mammalia, Artiodactyla, Suidae. The record is from Rfam.
GUGAGGAUGUUCCAUUUCCCCUACUUUCUCGGCAUCCCAAAAGAUGACUUAUUGGAGCUCACAAUUUCCUUUUUUUGGG